GACGAACGCUGGCGGCGUGCUUAACACAUGCAAGUCGAACGGUGACGGGAGCUUGCUCCCCUGAUCAGUGGCGAACGGUGAGUAACACGUGGGCAAUCUGCCCCUGACUUCGGGAUAACGCUUCGAAAGAGGUGCUAAUACCGGAUAUGAACCUCGCAGGCAUCUGCGAGGUUGGAAAGUUUCUCGGUCAGGGAUGAGCCCGCGGCCUAUCAGCUAGUUGGUGAGGUAAUGGGCUCACCAAGGCGACGACGGGUAGCCGGCCUGAGAGGGCGACCGGCCACACUGGGACUGAGACACGGCCCAGACUCCUACGGGAGGCAGCAGUGGGGAAUAUUGCGCAAUGGGCGAAAGCCUGACGCAGCAACGCCGCGUGAGGGAUGACGGCCUC
RNAcentral lists this ribosomal RNA (388 nucleotides) under uncultured bacterium. RNAcentral describes it as "bacterial SSU rRNA". It matches the Rfam family "Bacterial small subunit ribosomal RNA", at positions 28 to 418 of the family's 1533-position model. The record is from RNAcentral.